AGAGUUUGAUCCUGGCUCAGAUUGAACGCUGGCGGCAGGCUUAACACAUGCAAGUCGAGCGGUAACAGAGAUAGCUUGCUAUCUGCUGACGAGCGGCGGACGGGUGAGUAAUGCUUGGGAAAUAUGCCUUUGAGUGGGGGACAACAGUUGGAAACGACUGCUAAUACCGCAUAACGUCUACGGACCAAAGGGGGGGAUCUUCGGACCUCUCGCUCAUUGAUUAGCCCAAGUGAGAUUAGCUAGUUGGUAAGGUAAUGGCUUACCAAGGCGACGAUCUCUAGCUGGUUUGAGAGGAUGAUCAGCCACACUGGGACUGAGACACGGCCCAGACUCCUACGGGAGGCAGCAGUGGGGAAUAUUGCACAAUGGGCGAAAGCCUGAUGCAGCCAUGCCGUGUGUGUGAAGAAGGCCUUCGGGUUGUAAAGCACUUUCAGUUGUGAGGAAAGGGGUGUAGUUAAUAGCUGCAUCCUAUGACGUUAGCAACAGAAGAAGCACC
RNAcentral lists this ribosomal RNA (496 nucleotides) under uncultured bacterium. RNAcentral describes it as "bacterial SSU rRNA". It matches the Rfam family "Bacterial small subunit ribosomal RNA", at positions 8 to 494 of the family's 1533-position model. The record is from RNAcentral.